CGGCGAGUGAAGUGGGAAAAGCUCAACUUUGAAAUCUGGCACCUUCGGUGUCCGAAUUGUAGUCUCUAGAAGUGUCUUCCGUGCUGGCCCAUGUGUGAGUCUGUUGGAACACAGCGUCAUAGAGGGUGACAACCCCGUUCAUAACAUGGACCCCAGUGCUUUGUGAUACACUCUCGACGAGUCGAGUUGUUUGGGAAUGCAGCUCAAAUUGGGUGGUAAAUUCCAUCUAAAGCUAAAUAUUGGCGAGAGACCGAUAGCAAACAAGUACCGUGAGGGAAAGAUGAAAAGCACUUUGGAAAGAGAGUUAACAGUACGUGAAAUUGUUGAAAGGGAAACGAUUGAAGUCAGACGUGCGUGGUGCGGUUCAGCUCUGGUUCGCCAGAGUGUAUUCCGUGCCUUUGCAGGCCAACAUCGGUUUCAC
Molecule: ribosomal RNA, 421 nt
Filed under: Cystastrum externum
Lineage: Eukaryota; Fungi; Basidiomycota; Cystobasidiomycetes; Cystobasidiales; Cystobasidiaceae
Description: Occultifur externus partial large subunit ribosomal RNA
Rfam family: Eukaryotic large subunit ribosomal RNA
Source: RNAcentral